RNAcentral lists this ribosomal RNA (3010 nucleotides) under Salmonella enterica subsp. enterica serovar Newport str. Levine 15. RNAcentral describes it as "bacterial LSU rRNA". It matches the Rfam family "Bacterial large subunit ribosomal RNA". Lineage: Bacteria; Pseudomonadati; Pseudomonadota; Gammaproteobacteria; Enterobacterales; Enterobacteriaceae. The record is from RNAcentral.
GGGUUGUGAGGUUAAGCGACUAAGCGUACACGGUGGAUGCCCUGGCAGUCAGAGGCGAUGAAGGGCGUGCUAAUCUGCGAUAAGCGCCGGUAAGGUGAUAUGAACCGUUAUAACCGGCGAUACCCGAAUGGGGAAACCCAGUGUGAUUCGUCACACUAUCAUUAACUGAAUCCAUAGGUUAAUGAGGCGAACCGGGGGAACUGAAACAUCUAAGUACCCCGAGGAAAAGAAAUCAACCGAGAUUCCCCCAGUAGCGGCGAGCGAACGGGGAGGAGCCCAGAGCCUGAAUCAGCAUGUGUGUUAGUGGAAGCGUCUGGAAAGGCGCGCGAUACAGGGUGACAGCCCCGUACACAAAAGCGCAUGUGCUGUGAGCUCGAUGAGUAGGGCGGGACACGUGGUAUCCUGUCUGAAUAUGGGGGGACCAUCCUCCAAGGCUAAAUACUCCUGACUGACCGAUAGUGAACCAGUACCGUGAGGGAAAGGCGAAAAGAACCCCGGCGAGGGGAGUGAAAAAGAACCUGAAACCGUGUACGUACAAGCAGUGGGAGCACAGGUUUACCUGUGUGACUGCGUACCUUUUGUAUAAUGGGUCAGCGACUUAUAUUCUGUAGCAAGGUUAACCGUAUAGGGGAGCCGAAGGGAAACCGAGUCUUAACCGGGCGUUAAGUUGCAGGGUAUAGACCCGAAACCCGGUGAUCUAGCCAUGGGCAGGUUGAAGGUUGGGUAACACUAACUGGAGGACCGAACCGACUAAUGUUGAAAAAUUAGCGGAUGACCUGUGGCUGGGGGUGAAAGGCCAAUCAAACCGGGAGAUAGCUGGUUCUCCCCGAAAGCUAUUUAGGUAGCGCCUCGUGAAUUCAUCUCCGGGGGUAGAGCACUGUUUCGGCUAGGGGGCCAUCCCGGCUUACCAACCCGAUGCAAACUGCGAAUACCGGAGAAUGUUAUCACGGGAGACACACGGCGGGUGCUAACGUCCGUCGUGAAGAGGGAAACAACCCAGACCGCCAGCUAAGGUCCCAAAGUCAUGGUUAAGUGGGAAACGAUGUGGGAAGGCCCAGACAGCCAGGAUGUUGGCUUAGAAGCAGCCAUCAUUUAAAGAAAGCGUAAUAGCUCACUGGUCGAGUCGGCCUGCGCGGAAGAUGUAACGGGGCUAAACCAUGCACCGAAGCUGCGGCAGCGAACGUAUCACUUAAAGCGAUUCAGCGGGUUACGAUUGACGGAGCGAAGCGACGUCAAAGCGUAUACAAAGUCGAGUCGGUUUAAGGAUACGUUCGUUGGGUAGGGGAGCGUUCUGUAAGCCUGUGAAGGUGUGUCGUGAGGCAUGCUGGAGGUAUCAGAAGUGCGAAUGCUGACAUAAGUAACGAUAAAGCGGGUGAAAAGCCCGCUCGCCGGAAGACCAAGGGUUCCUGUCCAACGUUAAUCGGGGCAGGGUGAGUCGACCCCUAAGGCGAGGCCGAAAGGCGUAGUCGAUGGGAAACGGGUUAAUAUUCCCGUACUUGGUGUUACUGCGAAGGGGGGACGGAGAAGGCUAUGUUGGCCGGGCGACGGUUGUCCCGGUUUAAGCGUGUAGGUGUGUGUUCCAGGUAAAUCCGGUUCACUUUAACACUGAGGCGUGACGACGAGGCACUACGGUGCUGAAGCAACAAAUGCCCUGCUUCCAGGAAAAGCCUCUAAGCAUCAGGUAACAUCAAAUCGUACCCCAAACCGACACAGGUGGUCAGGUAGAGAAUACCAAGGCGCUUGAGAGAACUCGGGUGAAGGAACUAGGCAAAAUGGUGCCGUAACUUCGGGAGAAGGCACGCUGACACGUAGGUGAAGUGAUUUACUCAUGGAGCUGAAGUCAGUCGAAGAUACCAGCUGGCUGCAACUGUUUAUUAAAAACACAGCACUGUGCAAACACGAAAGUGGACGUAUACGGUGUGACGCCUGCCCGGUGCCGGAAGGUUAAUUGAUGGGGUCAGCGCAAGCGAAGCUCCUGAUCGAAGCCCCGGUAAACGGCGGCCGUAACUAUAACGGUCCUAAGGUAGCGAAAUUCCUUGUCGGGUAAGUUCCGACCUGCACGAAUGGCGUAAUGAUGGCCAGGCUGUCUCCACCCGAGACUCAGUGAAAUUGAACUCGCUGUGAAGAUGCAGUGUACCCGCGGCAAGACGGAAAGACCCCGUGAACCUUUACUAUAGCUUGACACUGAACAUUGAGCCUUGAUGUGUAGGAUAGGUGGGAGGCUUUGAAGCGUGGACGCCAGUCUGCGUGGAGCCGACCUUGAAAUACCACCCUUUAAUGUUUGAUGUUCUAACGUGGACCCGUGAUCCGGGUUGCGGACAGUGUCUGGUGGGUAGUUUGACUGGGGCGGUCUCCUCCUAAAGAGUAACGGAGGAGCACGAAGGUUGGCUAAUCCUGGUCGGACAUCAGGAGGUUAGUGCAAUGGCAUAAGCCAGCUUGACUGCGAGCGUGACGGCGCGAGCAGGUGCGAAAGCAGGUCAUAGUGAUCCGGUGGUUCUGAAUGGAAGGGCCAUCGCUCAACGGAUAAAAGGUACUCCGGGGAUAACAGGCUGAUACCGCCCAAGAGUUCAUAUCGACGGCGGUGUUUGGCACCUCGAUGUCGGCUCAUCACAUCCUGGGGCUGAAGUAGGUCCCAAGGGUAUGGCUGUUCGCCAUUUAAAGUGGUACGCGAGCUGGGUUUAGAACGUCGUGAGACAGUUCGGUCCCUAUCUGCCGUGGGCGCUGGAGAACUGAGGGGGGCUGCUCCUAGUACGAGAGGACCGGAGUGGACGCAUCACUGGUGUUCGGGUUGUCAUGCCAAUGGCACUGCCCGGUAGCUAAAUGCGGAAGAGAUAAGUGCUGAAAGCAUCUAAGCACGAAACUUGCCCCGAGAUGAGUUCUCCCUGAGACUUAGAGUCUCCUGAAGGAACGUUGAAGACGACGACGUUGAUAGGCCGGGUGUGUAAGCGCAGCGAUGCGUUGAGCUAACCGGUACUAAUGAACCGUGAGGCUUAACCUUACAACGCCGAAG